AAAUUGAAGAGUUUGAUCAUGGCUCAGAUUGAACGCUGGCGGCAGGCCUAACACAUGCAAGUCGAACGGUAGCACAGAGAGCUUGCUCUCGGGUGACGAGUGGCGGACGGGUGAGUAAUGUCUGGGAAACUGCCCGAUGGAGGGGGAUAACUACUGGAAACGGUAGCUAAUACCGCAUAACGUCGCAAGACCAAAGUGGGGGACCUUCGGGCCUCACACCAUCGGAUGUGCCCAGAUGGGAUUAGCUAGUAGGUGGGGUAACGGCUCACCUAGGCGACGAUCCCUAGCUGGUCUGAGAGGAUGACC
Molecule: ribosomal RNA, 306 nt
Filed under: Salmonella enterica subsp. enterica serovar Kentucky
Lineage: Bacteria; Pseudomonadati; Pseudomonadota; Gammaproteobacteria; Enterobacterales; Enterobacteriaceae
Description: partial 16S ribosomal RNA
Rfam family: Bacterial small subunit ribosomal RNA
Source: RNAcentral